Molecule: small RNA, 691 nt
Filed under: Pongo abelii (Sumatran orangutan)
Lineage: Eukaryota; Metazoa; Chordata; Mammalia; Primates; Hominidae
Description: retained intron
Source: RNAcentral
AUAUCACUCACUUGGGAAAGUGUCUCAAGCUGUUCUACAAAUCCAUGCAAAAGCAGUUUAAAAAUAGCAGAGAAGGCCCUGGACUCGGUCUCGUCCAGCGCAGCCCCUUGGCUUUCUCUCCUGGAUCUGGCCGCCUGGCCCCCGGUGACACACACGAGGUCAUGGCAUGCUACAGGGAGGCGGGGAUCCCGUGGACACCUCAGCUCUUUAGAGUUCUCCGCCUGGGCCAGGACGGGCACGGGGGUCCCCACUGAUGCCCGAGACGGUGCCCCUGUGUGUGUGUGAGCCCUCGACCCACGUAACAAGAGAGGUGUCCUGAUGCCCUCUGUCCUCUCCAGGUAGAUCUAGGAUCCGGCUUCCAACAUGUGGCAGCUCUGGGCCUCCCUCUGCUGCCUGCUGGCGUUGGCCGAUGCCCGGAGCAGGCCCUCUUUCCAUCCCCUGUCGGAUGAGCUGGUCAACUACGUCAACAAACGGAACACCACGUGGCAGGCCGGGCACAACUUCUACAACGUGGACGUGAGCUACUUGAAGAAGCUGUGUGGUACCUUCCUGGGUGGGCCCAAGCCGCCCCAGAGAGUUAUGUUUACCGAGGACCUGAAGCUGCCUGAAAGCUUCGAUGCACGGGAACAAUGGCCACAGUGUCCCACCAUCAAAGAGAUCAGAGACCAGGGCUCCUGUGGCUCCUGCUGGG